This 331-nucleotide long non-coding RNA is filed under the name Phoenix dactylifera (date palm). Its description in RNAcentral is "long non-coding RNA (PDAC_LNC021433)". The record is from RNAcentral. Lineage: Eukaryota; Viridiplantae; Streptophyta; Magnoliopsida; Arecales; Arecaceae.
UACAAGCCUAAUAAGUAUUUAAAUAAAAAUUCACAAAAGUAAUUUGGGCAUAAUCCAUCUUCAGUUGGCAUGAAAUGUCUACCCUAAUCUAAGGUGGUAGCACACUGCAUUUUCCUUAAGCAUGGACUAUCUUAUAUUUACUUAGUGAUCAUGAAGAAUAGUUGUACGAACAUCAUACUUAAAAUCACAGAAAUUAAAUAUGAUUCAAAAAAAAGAAAUUCAUUAAAAAUAAUAAGUUCAUACAACCCCAAGAAUAUAAAAUAAAAUAUAAAACCCGUGUUCCUUUGUUAGGGCUGCAUCCAGCCCUGGAGAAGAGCUCAGGCUUCCAUGC